GCCUUGCUCUAGCAGCACGUAAAUAUUGGAGUUAAACCACUUCUGAUUCCUCCAGUAUUGAUCGUGCUGCUGAAGUGAAGC
Scleropages formosus (Asian bonytongue) is the source of this 81-nucleotide microRNA precursor. It matches the Rfam family "mir-16 microRNA precursor family". Rfam says of the family: The hairpin precursors (represented here) are predicted based on base pairing and cross-species conservation -- their extents are not known. The record is from Rfam. Lineage: Eukaryota; Metazoa; Chordata; Actinopteri; Osteoglossiformes; Osteoglossidae.